Molecule: long non-coding RNA, 851 nt
Organism: Sinocyclocheilus grahami
Lineage: Eukaryota; Metazoa; Chordata; Actinopteri; Cypriniformes; Cyprinidae
Exons: 4
Source: RefSeq, a predicted model, not a curated record
UCAGAGGAGAAGACUGCAGAAGAGAAUGGGGACAGUGAAAUGGACAAAAGUAAUGAAACAAGUGCUGGCUCUCAAGGAGAAUGCAAGCAUGCUGGGGAUGGAGAUCAUGACAGGAAAUCUCCUAAUGACAAGAAGAGCUCUAAUGGAACUGGAGCAGCUGUUGCAAAACCUCUCAGUAGGCCUGCGCAAACACACUCAGCUCCUGAAAGCACCAGCCCAGCAGUGAGCCCCAGUGCGGACAUAACCUCUUAUAACCCCAUCACACACAUGCCUAAUGGUUUAGUCAAACCGCACAGCAUCUCAUCCACAUUGGAUUGGGAGGAGGAAUUAAGAUACUGGAGGUGUACUGCCAACAGACGGUGCUAAUGGGUCUGUGGGUGUAGACCAGCGAGGUCGUUCCGCCCCUGUGGCACGCACAAACACUUUCUCUCUCACAUUAGCACAGACCCCAAAUAAUCCCCUGCUUUGCAAGGAUGAACCCAUUGCUUCUCCUGGGUUAUGUGUCACCUCUGCUCGCCUUGAACCAGCAGUCUAAUUUGCAUUCACGUGAUGCCAAGCUUCCUUCAAAGUUCAGCAAGAAGGUGUUCCAGAUGUUUGAAUGUUUCUGCAGCCGGUGAUCUUCGCGCCAAACUAGGCAGCUAUUCUCAGGCGUAUGGGACUAUUAGCAAAAGUGGAUUGGAUCUUCUUAGGAAUUGCCACUAAGGUGUGAAGUGUGAGAUUCGUGGAGAGAUCAUGAGGCAGGUAGACGGUCGUUGGAAUCUCCCAGAUCAAAUAGAAAUGGUGGAUUUCACAUGACAAGCUAAUUACACCAUCAUCACAUGCUUUGAAGAUUAUCGCCAUUGUGGAUUAGU